CCUACGGGGGGCUGCAGUGGGGAAUAUUGGACAAUGGGCGAAAGCCUGAUCCAGCCAUGCCGCGUGUGUGAAGAAGGCCUUCGGGUUGUAAAGCACUUUCAGUGGGGAAGAAAGCCUUGGGGCUAAUACCCUCGAGGAAGGACAUCACCCACAGAAGAAGCACCGGCUAACUCCGUGCCAGCAGCCGCGGUAAUACGGAGGGUGCGAGCGUUAAUCGGAAUUACUGGGCGUAAAGCGCGCGUAGGCGGUCUGAUAAGCCGGUUGUGAAAGCCCCGGGCUCAACCUGGGAACGGCAUCCGGAACUGUCAGGCUAGAGUGCAGGAGAGGAAGGUAGAAUUCCCGGUGUAGCGGUGAAAUGCGUAGAGAUCGGGAGGAAUACCAGUGGCGAAGGCGGCCUUCUGGACUGGCACUGACGCUGAGGUGCGAAAGCGUGGGUAGCAAACAGGAUUAGAUACCCUAGUAGUC
Molecule: ribosomal RNA, 465 nt
Filed under: Vreelandella stevensii
Lineage: Bacteria; Pseudomonadati; Pseudomonadota; Gammaproteobacteria; Oceanospirillales; Halomonadaceae
Description: partial 16S ribosomal RNA
Rfam family: Bacterial small subunit ribosomal RNA
Source: RNAcentral